UAGGGAAUAUUCGUAAUGGGCGAAAGCCUGAACUAGCAACACCGCGUGUGCGAAGAAGGCCUUCGGGUUGUAAAGCACUUUUUGAGAGGAUGAGGAAGGACGGUACUCUCAGAAUAAGUCUCGGCUAACUACGUGCCAGCAGCCGCGGUAACACGUAGGAGGCAAACGUUAUCCGGAUUUACUGGGCGUAAAGCGCGUGUAGGUGGUACUGUAAGUAGGGCGUGAAAGCUCCUGGCUCAACUGGGAGAGGCCGUUCUAAACUACAGAACUAGAGGAUGGUAGAGGGAGGUGGAAUUCCAGGUGUAGCGGUGGAAUGCGCAGAUAUCUGGAGGAACACCGGUGGCGAAGGCGGCCUCCUGGACCAUUCCUGACACUCAGACGCGAAAGCUAGGGUAGCAAACG
RNAcentral lists this ribosomal RNA (402 nucleotides) under uncultured prokaryote. RNAcentral describes it as "bacterial SSU rRNA". It matches the Rfam family "Bacterial small subunit ribosomal RNA", at positions 355 to 774 of the family's 1533-position model. The record is from RNAcentral.